AAACUAAGGGACAAAGGGAGGGGGGGGAUGACCUCUCUGAUCCCUACAGCCUCCAAUUCUGUGACGCAACUUCCAUCACUGCAGGGAGUGGGGUUCUGCCAACAUACCUCCAUCUUGAUCCCUCAGAAAAAAAACUGCCACAAGGAGACAUUUAUUUGCAAGAGAUUCCUCUUUCCUUCCCCUGUCUGCUACUCAUGGAUGAUGGACUGCAGGCCACUUCCCACAUUGAGUGGUUAG
This 237-nucleotide long non-coding RNA is filed under the name Ornithorhynchus anatinus (platypus). Its description in RNAcentral is "lncRNA (ENSOANG00000033913.2)". The record is from RNAcentral. Lineage: Eukaryota; Metazoa; Chordata; Mammalia; Monotremata; Ornithorhynchidae.